AUGAACGCUAGCGACAGGCCUAACACAUGCAAGUCGAGGGGCAGCACAAGGAGCAAUCUGAGGUGGCGACCGGCGCACGGGUGAGUAACACGUAUGCAACCUGCCUGUAAGCGGGGAAUAACCCGUUGAAAGACGGACUAAUACCGCAUAAUACUAAAUUACUGCAUGGUAAUUUAUUUAAACAUUUAUGGCUUACAGAUGGGCAUGCGCAUGAUUAGCUAGUUGGAGAGGUAACGGCUCCCCAAGGCAACGAUCAUUAGGGGUUCUGAGAGGAAGGUCCCCCACACUGGUACUGAGACACGGACCAGACUCCUACGGGAGGCAGCAGUGAGGAAUAUUGGUCAAUGGACGAGAGUCUGGACCAGCCAAGUCGCGUGCAGGAAGAAUGUUCCCUAUGGAUUGUAAACUGCUUUUGCAGGGGAAUAAAGUGCAUCACGUGUGAUGUUUUGUAUGUACUCUGCGAAUAAGGAUCGGCUAACUCCGUGCCAGCCGCCGC
RNAcentral lists this ribosomal RNA (496 nucleotides) under uncultured bacterium. RNAcentral describes it as "bacterial SSU rRNA". It matches the Rfam family "Bacterial small subunit ribosomal RNA", at positions 29 to 518 of the family's 1533-position model. The record is from RNAcentral.